Molecule: long non-coding RNA, 3094 nt
Organism: Numida meleagris (helmeted guineafowl)
Lineage: Eukaryota; Metazoa; Chordata; Aves; Galliformes; Numididae
Exons: 3
Source: RefSeq, a predicted model, not a curated record
UCUGGAACUGGGUACCACACACUGUGAUGUAGCGUCUGCCACAAAAACAUGGAAUCCAGCUAUUUGGAUAUAGCCUUCUGAGAUGGCCAUCCAGCUUAUCAAGCUAUAGAUAUGAGACAAGAUUCUGCCCUCUAAGCAGCAGCGCAAUACUCACCAGCACUACAGGCCCGAGCUACUAACAUACAACAAAUUCUGCGCCACAUGUUAAGAGAGGUUGCCUCUUUAAACACGUCCUGGUCAAGUGUUGGAGUCUCUGCUGACAAAAGCAAGCUGAAGAAAGAAGCUUGAGAGCAAGGUUAAGUUACAGCUCUGCACAGAAUCAUGAGCAGUUUUUCAGCCACACACGGCUGAUGAAAGAUCAGCUGAACAAAGGGCUGCAUAACACUAGUCGUCCGGGACACACCUGCCACUCUGGACAGCAAAUACUGAAGCAUACUAACAGAACCCAAGACUGCGCGGGAUGAGGGGAAGACACAGCAACAAGCUCUAACUACCAUCCGAUAGCCCCACUGAAGAUUGAUUUCCAAAUGAUUAGUCCCAGAUAGCAUUUUAACCCAUCUGAACAUGUCAUUUGGUCGUUAUAUACAUUGACAGUACCUUACCUACGGAAAUAUUUACAGUAGACGGUGAUUUAUAACGUUGCCUGUCCACAGAAUGUAUGGGAUGAGCAUGUAACACCAGCAAACAACUAGCAAGAGACGAGGCUUAGCAAACUUGACAAAAUGCCUUUGAAUAUUUUGCUUAUGCGUGGAAACCAACAUUAAAGGGAAGAUGACGCAACUCAAGUUUAGCUAUUACCUUUAGCUCUCUAAAGACAUCACUAAAGAGGAGGAUGCAUCCCUCUCCACCCCCAGAGCACCGAGAUCCAAGGGCAGCAGUUGCUAUCUGACAGUUCUGGAAAGCACUGGCAGGGAGACCAGCCUUGGUGGUUACCUGUGUCAUCUUAGUUAAUGAGGAUUAUACCAUAGUCACUGGCAGGGCAAGACUUAACUACUGAGGUUGCUACUUUGCCUGUACUAAUUGGUCCAUUUCAGACAAAAGUAAGGUUUUUCACAUUUCCUUGGUUAAUAUAGGCUAUAUUUACUGCACUACUGAAGGCACACCUCUCUGUCCCCAGACUUUAAAUAUUCAACCCUGAAUAGUAAUUUUCAGCCACUGCUAGGGAUACAAGACUGCCUCAGGAUGCCUACCUGCUGCUGGAAGAUAAACCCUUUUCUCCAAGUUAGUGCUACGCUGUUGCAGUGGUGUUAGGUAUGCAGAAUCGUUAAGUGAGAAGUUUCUCAUUUAAAGUUUCCAUGUGAAGACUUAGCCUCCUCAAAAAAAAAAAAAAAAUCACCUAUACCAGUAGGAAAGCUGCUGACAGAACAUCAUCCUACCACUGCUCACCUCGAGGUUUUAGAAAUGCGUGCUAUACAUUCAAGUGAACGAGAGGAGUGGAAUUCUCAUUUCUUGCUGCUGAACAUGCCGCAAUAAAUGAAUUCUUGUCAAGUGUGAGUGCUGUAUGCAUAGGUAAAAUGCAGCACAGCAGAACAACACAGAACAUACAUUCAUAAGCCUCAUCUGUGGGUACCACAUUUUACUCCUUUUCAUGCUGAAGAACUAGAGCAUUCAAAGCUGUUCACUUGUAAUACAUGAAUGAGAUUAUUAGCUAUAGAAACUAUCACUAAACGUUAUUUUCUUGAGGGCUGGUAAAAAAAGAGAGAAGUAGCUUAGACUCAAAUUUAGGGAAGGGCUCCUGCCAUAUUAGCCACAUACUUUGUCGUGUUUUUUUGUUGUUGUUAAGAUGGGAGGGGUAAGAAGAUGAACAGAGCUCAAGCUGCCGCCAACAGUACAGCACUGUAAAGUUUAGAAGACAGUCAGAUACUAUCACUGAUUCUUCACUACAUCUUUGUUCUAUUCCUGUGAAUUCUGAAGUUGACUUGGGAUGCAGAAACAACUCAUUAGGUGAGAGGAUGAUACCCAUCCCAGCUCCACAGCCUUCCAAUGGGAGGAGCUGCAGACCAUUCCAUAUACAAAAACAUGUAGAACAAGGACAUACACCAUGAGGUUUUAGAAUCAGGGACAUACAUUCACCACCAUUAAGAAAAAUCCCUGCAUUGCUAAGCUAUUCCCAUCCAGUAUUUCCAUACUUCAAUUAAAACUUAAAAUUACAGUGUAAAUGCAUUUCUACAAAUUAUGUAAUACAUAAUUACGAUUCUUAUGAUCCAAGAUUAUAUUUUUAAUUGAUCUGUUGAAAAUGGAUUACAGGCAAAGACAAAUCUCUCCUGUGAAAACCUCUCUCUGGAAACAUCAGUCUCAGAUUCAGUGCACUGUUAAUACAGCCUAAGGUCUGUGUUCUCAACACAACCCUGUCUGGUGGAAGGACACCAACAGCUCUGCAGGAAGGAAGGGAGCAUGGGAAGAGAACUAGGAAGAGACAGGGUCAAGACAGUAUUGAAAGAGGAAUGGUACCUUCUUAACUUUAAAACAGAGGAACUAGGUAGUUUUCCUCUAAGGAAGCAUGGUCUAGCAGGCAUGUUUAUGUGCUCUUAAGAUUUAGCAGAAAUGAUAAACUCCACACAUGGUACAAGACUUGUUUUCUAAACUGAUAUAAAAAUUCAGGCAGACCUUCUGUCGAAGUUACUGCAACAAUGAAGUCUCCAAGUGUAAAACUGAGGUUAAGGGAAUUUUUUUUUCAGUAUGUGGCAGACUAGUUCCAUGCCUAUUUUGCUUGCACAAUUAUAACCUGAGAAAUUUAUGCUGCAGUCUGUAUGCAAGCUUCUACUAUACUCAUACUGUCGGCUUCUUAAAAGUUUUUCCAAGUAAAAACAGUCCAUGAAAGCUCCUCAAAUGGACAAGGCAUUUAUAUUUCUUCCAGUUUACUUACUGGAAACUGUCUGAAGUGAUAAUUAAUUAGGCCAGGAGUGUAACGAUAUCAGAUUAUCACCAGGAAAAGAUUCACUGUAUUUUUUUCCCUACAAGUUGAGUAUAUUUGAAUAUCUGCUAUACCGAAGUAGAAGAGGGCAGUUUGAUUCUGUACAGAAUGGUAAUCUAAGCCCUGUUUCACAGCCAGCAAAGUUAACAUCCUUUUACAAAACAGUUGAAGAAUAAUCUC